AUGACAGUUUCUGCAGUAUUUUUUUUUUUAAUGUUGGCUUUUCCCUUCUUUAUUUUUCUCUUGGUUUUGGUUUAUGCUUUGUUUUUGUUUGUUUUGCUUUGUUUACAUUUUCAUUACGAUGACAUAACCCCAUUUGUCCUGGCAGUACUGCGCAACUGACUCAUCUGAGAGCUGCUGCCAGUUGUCCUUUGGUAGCCUGGGACUGGUCCCCACGGAGCAUCCCUCCCUUCCAUUGGGGGUUUCCCUUCCAGUGGUUCACAUGCUGUUUGCUGUGAGCAGAAAGCAUCCAAAUCUGUCCCACUGUUUGCUUUCAGAGGUCAGCUGAUUUUUAGUCUGACUCACAGAAAGUUUUUAGAUCGUCUUUAGCUCACAUCUUGUCUUCCCAGUGAGCACCUCAGUUGGAAUGGUCAGUGUUGAUUUGGCGUUUUCUAGCUCCAUUACUUGUAAAGGAAAAUGGAACAACUUGCCUUAUGCAAAGGGAUAUGCCAUAUGCAAAGAGCUAUAACCACUCAAGCCACAACCUGGGGUCUUUACUCCUGCAAAAGCAAGUUUGUUAAAUCUCUUCCUUGCGGAGCUUCUCCAUCCAAAACUAUUGCCUAGGAAUCCCUCCCGCCCCCCCCCCCCCCCCUCUGUCUCUUGUUCUCACUCAGCCAUACUGCACUUGGUUGGGAAAUUGAGAUUUUUGCCCUAGCCCUCCAUCACUCAAAAGGAGGAGCUGCUGCCAAUGUGAUCUUCAAAAGGGCUUUACUCCUUGGAAUGGAAAAAAUGAAUUUGCCUUCAGAACAGGCUGCACAGAUACUUAAAAUGUGCUGUGUGAUCUCAUACAUGUGGGUGAGGAUGCUGAGUGAUGUUUUGUUCAGAGUGGCAUAUAUCCUUCCACUUCUCUGUUGUGCACAAUUUAUCAAAUCUAGCAGGGAAGCAUGUCACGCAUGUGGAAAAGGCUGGAGGCUGUUUGUUAUGGAGACUUUUCUCAGAUUUUCUUUAUCUUUGCAACAUCUUAAAUCUGUCUUAAGGGAGAGCGAUGCCUACAGAUUGAAUGGAGGACAUUUUCCCUUGUCUACGCAUUAG
Molecule: long non-coding RNA, 1068 nt
Filed under: Numida meleagris (helmeted guineafowl)
Lineage: Eukaryota; Metazoa; Chordata; Aves; Galliformes; Numididae
Description: lncRNA (ENSNMEG00000019398.1)
Source: RNAcentral